RNAcentral lists this ribosomal RNA (407 nucleotides) under uncultured bacterium. RNAcentral describes it as "partial 16S ribosomal RNA". It matches the Rfam family "Bacterial small subunit ribosomal RNA", at positions 28 to 526 of the family's 1533-position model. The record is from RNAcentral.
GACGAACGCUGGCGGCAGGCCUAACACAUGCAAGUCGAGCGGAGCGGCGGACGGGCGGGUAAUGCCUAGGAAUCUGCCUGGUAGUGGGGGAUAACGUCCGGAAACGGGCGCUAAUACAGCCUCCUCUCAAAUGAGCCUAGGUCGGAUUAGCUAGUUGGGGGGGUAAAGGCCUACAAAGGCGACGAUCCGUAACUGGUCUGAGAGGAUGAUCAGUCACACUGGAACUGAGACACGGUCCAGACUCCUACGGGAGGCAGCAGUGGGGAAUAUUGGACAAUGGGCGAAAGCCUGAUGCAGCCAUGCCGCGUGUGUGAAGAAGGUCUUCGGAUUGUAAAGCACUUUAAGUUGGGAGGCGUUACCAACAGAAUAAGCACCGGCUAACUUCGUGCCAGCCGCCGCGGUAAUAC